UACGUAGGUGGCAAGCGUUGUCCGGAUUUACUGGGUGUAAAGGGCGUGUAGGCGGGUUAUCAAGUCAGAUGUGAAACCCCGGGGCUUAACCCCGGAACUGCAACUGAAACUGAUGAUCUUGAGUACUGUAGAGGAAAGUGGAAUUCCUAGUGUAGCGGUGAAAUGCGUAGAUAUUAGGAGGAACACCGGUGGCGAAGGCGGCUUUCUGGACAGAAACUGACGCUGAGGCGCGAAAGCGUGGGGAGCAAAC
RNAcentral lists this ribosomal RNA (250 nucleotides) under uncultured prokaryote. RNAcentral's name for it is "partial 16S ribosomal RNA". It matches the Rfam family "Bacterial small subunit ribosomal RNA", at positions 524 to 773 of the family's 1533-position model. The record is from RNAcentral.